GCUGAACGAGGAUCUUCCUUGGCUGAGAGCAGGAUCUACGCGCAGCUGAAAAUACGUUUGUGAAGAUCCAAGUGAACGAAACGACCUGGCCAUUGGUCACAGGAAAAAAGGUUACAAGCUGAGGUUGGAACCAGCGAUGCUGGGGGCCUUCUGUUGUGGCACUUUUCUCAGGAUGGGACGAGCAGUCUGCUGGAGGCACAUCUUUACCUGUCACUAGAGAUAUCCCAAGGAACAGCUUCCACAUGAAAUGUCUUCUCAGCUGGGCUGGUGGCUGAAGUGGGGGCACACAAGGCCCAUUCCACUCCCGCUAACCCCUGGCACACUGCUGCCCGUGGCUUUCAGCUGGCUGGGGUUAACCCGUGUGUCCUUUCCCCCAGGAAAAGGGGGAAACAGUGUGUCCUCAGCUGCCAGCAGGAUGCUCUCGCUCCUCACUCACCCACUUGUGACUGUGCAGGAGCAGAGCGUGGCUCCUAUUUCAAACACAGCUCUUUAAAGGCAAAUUUGGGGAGCUGGUGCACUGCGUAGGAUAAUAAAUCCCUUCUUACGAGC
Long non-coding RNA from Cygnus olor (mute swan), 549 nucleotides. RefSeq lists it as uncharacterized. Lineage: Eukaryota; Metazoa; Chordata; Aves; Anseriformes; Anatidae. The transcript is spliced from 2 exons. The record is from RefSeq and is a predicted model, not a curated record.